UUACUAAUUAAUUCAUUGAAAAUUAAAAUAAUUACAGAAAUUAAUAUGAAACAACAGACAACAAACUAACGUUACUCUGCUGCGAAAAAGAGGAGAUUUUUCAUCUACGUAUUCACAAUUUACGCCGCUCUCGCGUAAUUUCUUUUUGGGUAUAAUUUUCUCGUCUAAUUUUCAAAAUUGGGACUAAAAAGAAGAUUAACGAUUUUAAAGAGAUAAAAUUGAAAAUUUGUGGGUUUUUCUUUUCCGGUUCUUGAUAUCGGCGAUUUUAAAAAAUCAUAAUCAGGCGACUUCCGGAGCAGGUUGGUUGAGAUCGAUAUUGAGAAGCGGUCGCCGUUUGAUCUCGUGGUGGUUUAAAUCAACGACGGAGGAUGAAUCUGAGUCGCUUUGUACACCAGCGUUAAAAGUUUCGUGAUAAUCACGGUGAUCGAAUCUC
This 433-nucleotide long non-coding RNA is filed under the name Gossypium barbadense (sea-island cotton). Its description in RNAcentral is "long non-coding RNA (GBAR_LNC008706)". Lineage: Eukaryota; Viridiplantae; Streptophyta; Magnoliopsida; Malvales; Malvaceae. The record is from RNAcentral.